Molecule: ribosomal RNA, 495 nt
Filed under: uncultured bacterium
Lineage: Bacteria
Description: partial 16S ribosomal RNA
Rfam family: Bacterial small subunit ribosomal RNA
Source: RNAcentral
AUGAACGCUGGCGGCGUGCCUAAUACAUGCAAGUCGAGCGAACAGACGAGGAGCUUGCUCCUCUGACGUUAGCGGCGGACGGGUGAGUAACACGUGGAUAACCUACCUAUAAGACUGGGAUAACUUCGGGAAACCGGAGCUAAUACCGGAUAAUAUAUUGAACCGCAUGGUUCAAUAGUGAAAGACGGUUUUGCUGUCACUUAUAGAUGGAUCCGCGCCGCAUUAGCUAGUUGGUAAGGUAACGGCUUACCAAGGCAACGAUGCGUAGCCGACCUGAGAGGGUGAUCGGCCACACUGGAACUGAGACACGGUCCAGACUCCUACGGGAGGCAGCAGUAGGGAAUCUUCCGCAAUGGGCGAAAGCCUGACGGAGCAACGCCGCGUGAGUGAUGAAGGUCUUCGGAUCGUAAAACUCUGUUAUUAGGGAAGAACAAAUGUGUAAGUAACUAUGCACGUCUUGACGGGACCUAAUCAGAAAGCCACGGCUAACUACGU